GCAUCGCUGAGGAGUCCCAUAAUAGGACGAAACGGCUGUCUAGUAC
This 46-nucleotide non-coding RNA is filed under the name Schistosoma mattheei. Lineage: Eukaryota; Metazoa; Platyhelminthes; Trematoda; Strigeidida; Schistosomatidae. The record is from RNAcentral.